Bactrocera tryoni is the source of this 898-nucleotide long non-coding RNA. RefSeq lists it as uncharacterized. The transcript is spliced from 2 exons. Lineage: Eukaryota; Metazoa; Arthropoda; Insecta; Diptera; Tephritidae. The record is from RefSeq and is a predicted model, not a curated record.
UUAAUAAAUGUUCACCACAGAAAAAUGUUACGAACAAAUAAGCAACCAUGCCGAAUAGUGGGGUCCAGAUUAUACUCAUUCACAGCCAUAUUGACAUUUUUGCCAUCAUAACGAAGAUUUUUGCAAGGCAAUUUGAGUUUAUUUCAUGGUUAAUUGCUUUACGAUGGUUUAUUUAGUAUUUCCCUUGAGACGAUAAAUAACAAAUGGGGUUGGGAUUUUAUUCCAAUAAAAGUACGGAAUAACUAAACAUGGCCUCGUUAAUACUGCUGCGUAAUGGGUCAGGUGCUGUUCCAAUUUUAUGAUUUAAGAGAUGUAAAAACGAUACACGAUGCUGUGAAGUACUCAAAUGUAUUUAUGAACUUAGUUGGUCGUGAAUUCGAGACAAAAUUGUAAAUUCAAUGACGUGCUUGUGGAAGGUGCACGUCGCAUUGCUAGAAUCAGCAAAGAAGCUGGUGUAGAACGUUUGAUAAUUUGUGUGCUUUAAACGCUAGCCCCUGGACAACCUAUUGGUGAGCUGCAUACGGAACGUAUCGAUCGCGAAUGUAUUACCGAUGUAGUUCCCUCCGACAUACCGUGGUUGAAGAAUUUUGGUGUACAAUUGACCUCCAUGGAAGAGAAAGUACCAUGGGAAUUGUGACCAUAUCGUGCUGCGCAAUAUUAUGAUGCCGAAUUGGGAGAGUGGGGAGAACCAGCUCCACCAAAACCGAUAGAACGUCGGGAAGAACUACGCAAAUAAUAAACAACACUCAUCAAAUGAAAGUUGGCAGCGUUGGUGACCAAGCAGCGAUUUGAAAAAGAAACAUUUGCAUCUACGCGAAUUACAAUUCGUCUUUACAUCUAGUGAAUUAUGGUCGAUUAUGAAUGGUGUGGAAGUUGAUAUUUAAACUUAAAAAAAAAA